GUUUUGCUUUCCAGGGCCACUUCUGAUACCAAUGCUUGACCUGUUCAUCACAUCCAAAUCACCAAGCAAAGCUUCAGGCAAAGGCUUGCAAGCAGGAAGCUCAUUUGAGAAGUGUUCUCCAGCAGUAGGAAUGAGGAAUGGCGAAAUGACUCAAUUGUUUCACUCUAUGGGAAACUGGAGCCCAACUCCUCUAGGCACACCCACUGGAGUUGGAAUCUCAGAAUCAUUCACCCGAAGGGCAGAGAAAAGGAGCCUUUAUCCAUCGCUGUUUCCCAUCUGUCAGGGGUUGUCCCCUGAGCUGUACAUUCCCUGACACUUUCACAUUGCACAUGAGUGAGGACCAGAUCAGUUCCUGCAGAAAUAUGACCAUGAUACCAUCAAAAAAAGCUCCAGGAAGAAGAGAUUUGCUGGGAAGCCAAGGUUUACACCAGCACUAGUAUGAAAACGUAAGCAUUAAAGCCAGAUAACAGGUCGCAUACAAGAGCUCAGGAAUUAAGCUGUCAUAAGAGGUGGUGAAAUCUACCAACUGAAAAAGAACUCUUGAAGUAGACUACCUGGGUUCAUACCUGGGUCAUUCCACUUACGUGCAAGUGUUUAACCUGCAAGACAUUCUCCCUUCCGUUUCUUGAUAUUUGGACAUAGAAUUGAUCAUCCCUCAGAAGAAUUUUUGAUGAGAAGAUCUCUGCUUAUCGAACUCACCAUGCUUCUGGAGAGCAUGUUCUUACACUCUUACAUUCACUGAAUUACUUAGGAUGGCUCCAUCCCAAGGAUGCUGAUCACCUCACUGUUCCAAACCACUGAGGUUAUAAACCAGAAUUCUUAUUCUCCCAGACUCUACACGAAGUGUAAGUGGUAAUUUCACUUUUAAGUUAUGAGAUAACCAUAUGUUUACCCAGAUUAAUUAAUUUUCCCUUGGAAAAUGUUCCUUUAAUUAUAUUUUGCAUAUUUGAAUGAUUCCUAUUUUGCACCUGUGUUCAGAGGCACCUGAUUCUAAUGAAUUGAUUAUCUAGGCUAGAGAAUGAAUAUAAUUAUAUUUUGCCUACUUUGAUGAUGAACUUUUCAUGUUUGACCUAGCUGGCAUUUUGUACCCUAUCUUAUCACCUCAUUAACUCUAUUAAGACAUUUCAGUGAUCUUUAACAUCUUAUAGGUAUGUAAUUAAAGUAUAAAUUUAGUCAAAUUUAUAUUGUAACUAAUAUUAUAGAGCCGAGACAACUUGGCAUUCUCUUCUUGCUUUCUCUGAGAAAUUUACUAGCUUGGAACUUCUCUGGCCAAUUAUUUUCACUGUUGUAUUCCCCAACAAGGAUUUUUUAUUUGUUUUGCUUUGACAAUUUUUCUUUGAUGACCACUUUGUCUGUUCAAUCCAGUCUCCAACAUGCACACAGAACAAAAGUUUGAAGGAGUUAUUCAGAUCAUUUGAGCCAACAUCAUAUUUUGUGUUUAGAUUACCGGACUAAGAAGAGCACAGCUAAAAUUUUCUUUCAUGCCUUAUCCAAACAACAGUCUAAUUACCCUUUCAAUUCCAGCUGUGAAAGCCAACCAGUGGGAAGUGAAAUAAUGCUUUUUCCAGGUCCCAAAGCAAAUUAUUAGCAGCUGUGAACCCAGCAAUCUCUACUAUCUCCAUAGGUGCCCAUCAAAUAUGACCUCAUGUCGCCACUGAAUUGGAAGAAGAUAUUUUUCCAUUCUUCCUUAGAACUAUGGGAAAUACAUUGAGACUCACCGUUUUCCUGUUUGGAAGUCAAAGCUCUUAGAGGAAAGGAAUGUUGACUGUCUUGUUCACACUGUAUCCCCAGCACUUAGAACCACCCUGUUACUUAAGUAGGUGGUAGAAAACAUUUGCCAAAUGAAUGGAUACAUAACAUAUUAAAGACACAGAUUAGGAGUUUGUUGGCAAUAUGCGCUUUAUGCUGAUGUCUCCUAGAUAUAAAUAAAUGUCAUAGUAUUGUUGGGACUCAGAAAACAAUAGCCCAAAAUGAAGGUCUCAGAAGCAAAAGUUUUUCUUGGACUUUUUCCUGCCCUCUGUCUCUCAUCCCAUCCUCUCCCAAGGCUAGCCAUGGAAACGAGAAUCUCUCUUCCCCAAGGGAGGUCAUAGAAGCCAGAAAUGCUUUUCCCCCCAAACAAGCUAUAAAACCUAAAAAUAUCAUUCUAACUCCCCAACUCCAACCUUUCUGUGUAAAAACCACCACCAAUAAGGGCUGGAUAUGGUGGCUCUUGAAUGUAAUCCCAGCGUUGUGGGAUGCUAAGGUAGGAUGAUCACUUGAGUCCAGGAGUUUAAGAUCUGCCUGGGACCCUGACUCUACAAAAAAUUUAAAAAUUAGGUGGAUAUGGUGGUGCAGGCUUGUAAUCCCAGCCACUCAGGAGGCUGAGGCCAGAGGAUUGCUUAGAUCCAGGAGUUUGAGGCUGCAGUGAGCUAUGAUCAUGCCGCUGCACUCUACCUGGGUGACAGAAUAAAACCCUUUCUCGAACAAAACAAAACAAAAUAUCCACAAGCCAUAAGGAAAUUAUUUGAUCUACCUUGUUUGACUGAUAUGGUUGGCUGUGUCCCCUCCUAAAUCUCUUCUUGAAUUUUAGCUCCCAUAAUUCCCUCAUAUUGUAGGAGAGACGUGGUGGGAGAUAAUUGAAUCAUGCAGGCGGUUUCUCCCAUGCUAUUCUUGUGGAAGUAAGUUUCACGAGAUCUAACGCUUUUAUGAGGAGAAACCCUUUUCACUUGGCUCUCUCUCUUGCAUGUGCUUUUUCUUCUAUUAAUCUGCCUCUUUUCAGUGAUUUCCAGUGAACAUUCAGAGGGUAAAGGGAAAGUUUUCCCUUGGCCUGGACAGUAUCUUGAAUUUUUUUUUUUUUUUUAAUUUGGGAGGCUUCUUGAAUUUGAAAAUGGCAGAUCCAUGGAAUUCACAAGCCUGAUAAACACACAGGCAUAACAUUUCCCCCUUCUGAGACCCUCUGCAAGUCAGACUAACAUUCCAUUUUUACUGGGGAAAGGAGGUGAGUUCUCCAGUGAUGUCCACAUCUGCAGCAUCCUUUCAGGAACAGAAAAAGCAGAAAGUAUACAACAAUAGCUGGAGCCAGACACAGUAGCUCAUGCCUGUAAUCCCAACACUUUGGGAAGCCGAGGUGGAAGGAUUACUUGAGGCCAGGAGUUCGAAACUGGCCUGGAAUACAUAGUGAGAUACCAUCUGUUUAAAAAAAGUAUGACAUAGAAUAAUAGCUUGUUGAUGAAGAUCCACAGUUAUAGAAAGUGACCCACCACACCCACUCACACCAAAACAACAAGUGGAAGAAGGCAGAACAAGAAUCAUUCUUAACACAGAAGCAAGAUAUUUUCAGCCUCAACAUCUGAGAGUGGCCUUCCCAGAGGCUCUGUUUAGACCACCUUGGCCUAAACUGAUGUUGAGUCCCGUAAUAAUCAGUUAAAGGAUUUGUUAGUGGCAUGAGUAUGUUAUAUGGCUCUGGAUUUAGGGGGUGGAAGGAAGUCAAAAAUCUUUGAAAAGUAUAGGCUAAAAUGCUUUUCUCUGUGGUCCAGUUCUUAGUUCUAGCCCUCUGCUAUGAUUCUCACAGAACAUUGUGCAUGCACGGAUUGGAUUCCUUGUUCUUUAAUUGGAUGACUCCUAAAUUUGACCUCCAGCUUUGUCCUCUCUAGUGAAUAGAAAACAUUCCCAUUUCUAGAAGCUUCCUGGAUGUCUCACCACCUUGAUUUCCCACCAGUACCUCAAUUAAGUUCCUGUUUAUCUGCUCCUCCUGCCCAAACUAGACCUUCCUCUCGGCCUAUUUUCUAUGAUGACACUAUUGAGCCGCUGUCAGGCCUCUCAGGCUACAUUUCCUAGAUUUAUCUUUAGUUUCUCCCCCUCUCUUUUCACCUCUUCUAUAUAUUUUCUCUGUCACCAUCUUCCCCUCUUAUAGCAUCAACACUGGUCCCUUGACUUCACUUACUUCCUAACCUGAUCAAUCCUAUAUGGCACUUCCAAAACAUUUUUCUUCAGAGUUGUUGUAUGUAGGUCUCACGCCAUGCUGCUGUUCCAAGAGGAAAUUUGCCUUGCAAUUGAGAUGAAACUGAGUAGGAGACUGGCAGGACUUAUUUCCCAGUCUUGAGAGGAUGAAGUGAAGAAACCAGGCUGAGAUCAUACCUGCACUUUGGGAAGCUUGAGCCCAGGAGUUCAAGACCAGCCUGGGAAACAUAACAAGACCUUGCAUCUACAAAGAUUAGCUGAGCAUGUUGAUUUGUGCCUGUAGUCUCGCUACUUAGGAAACUGAGAUGGGAGGAUUGCUUAAGCCUGGGAUAUCAAGGCUUCAGUGAAUUAUGUUCAUGCCACUGUACUCUAGCCUAGUCAACAGAGUGAGACCCUCUCUCAAAAAAAGAAUAGCGUGAUCAACAGAGUGAGACCCUGUCUCAAAAAAAGAAAAGAAAAAGAAAGGAAGAAAGAAACCAACCAGCAGGAACCAGCAGAAAGUGAAGAAAGUGAUCAUUAGCUAUCUUCAUUGAUUAUUAGCAUGAGACACUCCCACCAGUGCCAGGACAGUUUACAAAUGCCAUGGCAAUGACCCAAGAAGUUACUUCUCUUUUCCAUGGUAACAACCCAGAAGUUACUGCCUCUUUUCCUAGAAGUUCAAAGUAACUCCCCCUCAAUUUGCAUGUAACUGAAAGUGGAUUCACGUGAGUUAUAAAUACAGUUGCCAAGAGCCCAGACUGUUGCUGACUGUAGUGCGCUGCCUAUGAGUCAGCCCUGCUCCACAGGGAGCAGCACCAUUCAAUAAAAGAUUGUUGUCUGACUCCACUGGCUCAUCCUUGAAUUCUUUCCUGGGUGAAGCUGAGAACCUUCCUGGGCUUAGCCCCAGUUUGGAGGCUCACCUGUCCUGCAUCAA
Molecule: non-coding RNA, 4852 nt
Organism: Callithrix jacchus (white-tufted-ear marmoset)
Lineage: Eukaryota; Metazoa; Chordata; Mammalia; Primates; Cebidae
Source: RefSeq, a predicted model, not a curated record